UAAUACGUAGGGUGCGAGCGUUAAUCGGAAUUACUGGGCGUAAAGCGUGCGCAGGCGGAUGUUUAAGUCAGAUGUGAAAUCCCCGGGCUUAACCUGGGAAUGGCAUUUGAAACUGGACGUCUAGAGUGCGUCAGAGGGGGGUGGAAUUCCACGUGUAGCAGUGAAAUGCGUAGAGAUGUGGAGGAACACCGAUGGCGAAGGCAGCCCCCUGGGAUGACACUGACGCUCAUGCACGAAAGCGUGGGGAGCAAACAGG
Molecule: ribosomal RNA, 256 nt
Filed under: uncultured archaeon
Lineage: Archaea
Description: partial 16S ribosomal RNA
Rfam family: Bacterial small subunit ribosomal RNA
Source: RNAcentral